Molecule: ribosomal RNA, 538 nt
Filed under: Microplana sp. clade-9
Lineage: Eukaryota; Metazoa; Platyhelminthes; Tricladida; Geoplanidae
Description: SSU rRNA
Rfam family: Eukaryotic small subunit ribosomal RNA
Source: RNAcentral
GAGAAACGGCUACCACAUCCACGGAAGGCAGCAGGCGCGUAAAUUACCCAAUACCGGCUCGGUGAGGUAGUGACAAAAAAUAACAAUAUGGGCCCUAGUGGUUUCAUAAUUGCAAUGAGAAUAUUUUAAAUACUUUAUCAAGUAUCAAUUGGAGGGCAAGUCUGGUGCCAGCAGCCGCGGUAAUUCCAGCUCCAAAAGCGUAUAUUAAAGUUGUUGCAGUUAAAAAGCUCGUAGUUGAAAUUCGGGAUGUAAAUGUAUUUAUAAUCUUAGGAUUGAAGUUCAUUUUGUCCUUUUCUGUUGUGUAUAUUUUGGAGGUACUUAAUUGGACUUUCAUAAUAACCGACUUGUUUACUUUGAAAAAAUUAGAGUGCUUAAAGCAGGCUUAUGCUUGUAUAUUGUUGCAUGGAAUAAUAAAAUAUGACUUCGGUUUUAUUUUGUUGGUUUUCGAAACUGAAGUAAUGAUUAAAAGAGACUGCCGGGGGCAUGUGUAUGCUGGUGUUAGAGGUGAAAUUCUUAGAUCAUCAGCAGACAAACUACU